AACGAACGCUGGCGGCAUGCCUAACACAUGCAAGUCGAACGAGACCUUCGGGUCUAGUGGCGCACGGGUGCGUAACGCGUGGUAACCUGCCCUUAGGUUCGGAAUAACUCCCCGAAAGGGGUGCUAAUACCGGAUAAUGUCUUCGGACCAAAGAUUUAUCGCCUUUGGAUGGGCCCGCGUUGGAUUAGCUAGUUGGUAGGGUAAAAGCCUACCAAGGCGACGAUCCAUAUCUGGUCUGAGAGGAUGAUCAGCCACACUGGGACUGAGACACGGCCCAGACUCCUACGGGAGGCAGCAGUGGGGAAUAUUGGACAAUGGGCGAAAGCCUGAUACAGCAAUGCCGCGUGAGUGAUGAAGGCCUUAGGGUUGUAAAGCUCUUUUACCCGGGAUGAUAAUGACAGUACCGGGAGAAUAAGCUCCGGCUAACUCCGUG
RNAcentral lists this ribosomal RNA (433 nucleotides) under uncultured bacterium. RNAcentral describes it as "partial 16S ribosomal RNA". It matches the Rfam family "Bacterial small subunit ribosomal RNA", at positions 29 to 507 of the family's 1533-position model. The record is from RNAcentral.